UCCUACACCCUUACCCCACCCCCUAGAUACUUAAGAACUGCCUAGGGGAAAGUGAGGCACCCCCACAAUAUUCAGAGGAAACAUUAAGAACAGUCCCACUUCAUCUCACUCCCUCAUUCCUGGGUGCUGAGCGCCUGCUGUCCCCCCCCAGACUGUGUGUUUGUGCCCCGAGCCCUGCGCCCCUCGCAGCCCAUCCCCCCGUACCUCAUCCCUGGGUGUUUGUGCCCCAAGACCUGGGCCCUGCCCUGAGCCCUGCACCCCUUCCAGCCCACCCCCCUCACCCCAUCCUUGGGUGUUUGUGACCCGAGCCCUGCACCCUGCCCCGAGCCCUGCGCCCCUUCCAGCCCAUCCGCCCCCCACCCCAUCCCUGGGUGUUUGUGCCCAGAGACCUGGGCCCUGCCCUGAGCCCUGCGCCCCUCGCAGCCCAUCCCCACCCCAUCCCUGGGUGUUUGUGCCCCGAGCCCUGCGCCCUUCCCCGCUCGCCCCUCCCAGGGCUCAGGUCUCCGCACUCCCUGUGUCAUCCGACAAACCUCCCACCCCAGAGCUCCCACUGCCCUGCGCUAGCUGGGCCCUGGGGUGCUGCUGGGUGGGUGGGGUGAGGCAGGGCACAGCCCCUCGGGGGCACCAGGUGUGUGGGGGGGGGGCAGAACCCAGCCCCGAGGGGUCACCGUGGCAGCAGGGUCCUGGCCGGGGGGGCAGCACCUUGCACUGUAGUUACAGACUCUGCUCCCGGGGUAAGGGGCCGGCACCAGGACGUGGCUGCAGGGGAGGGGGGCAGGGGUGUCACCGUGUGAACAUUGGGCAAGGGAGGGACGCCCCCUUCCUACCCCUGCAGGGGCUCUUAGCCCUGCGGCCCCUUCGCUUUCAGCCCCAGGCCUAGCCAUUGGGCUUGGUGCCCUGUGCUCCCUUCCCCACCCCCAGCUGCAGGGAGUGGGGAGGGGAGGGGCGUGAUGGGGGAAGUGCCCCCCCUCCCCCGAGUAGACUCCUCCUCCCCCCACCCCCCAUGGCUCAGAGCAGCCCACAGGCUGGGCACAGACUGAGCUCCUGGGAGCAUCCCGACAACUUCAGGCCACCGUCCCGGCGUAUCCACGGCCACGCGCUCCCUGGGGGGCUGGACAGAUGGACACGGGGCCACGUGCUCCCUGAGGGGCUGGACAGACAGACAGACAUGGCCACACGCUCCUUGGGGGGCUGGACAGACAGACACAGGGCGACAGGCGCCCCGGGACGCACACACAGAGCACCCGGCUGUGUGCAGGGCCACGCUGACAGACCUGCAUGAGGCCUGGAUUCGUGGGCCCACGGUGCCAUGAACCCGCGCAUGGCGCAGUCCCGGGGCUCGGGGAAUGUGCCCCGGGGCACCCCUGGGAACGGCCUCACAGGAGCGCCCAGAAAGGGGUGCGCACUCAGACACAGCCACGUGCCCACGUGGGCACCUGGCCGGCCCAGGCCCCGGGGCCCUGCAGCCACAGGCUGCCCGUGCUGUGCCCCUGGCUGCCCCCAGGGCUCACACAUUUGGCUGUGUCCGAGCUGAGCUGCCAGCACAGGCCCGGCAAGGGGGUGUCUGGAUACGGGGGAAAGACCCCCGCAUGGGAACAACAGGCCUGCAAGCAGGGCAGGAGGCUGAGCUCCCGGGAGCAUCCCAACACCCCCAUGCCACAGCCCCGGUGUGUGCAUGACACGUGUCCCCCACCACACACACAGCCACACGGUCCCUGGGGAUGGACAGACAGACGCACACGGCCGCUGUUGAAUCAACCAGGCAAGGUACGAACAAGCUUCAACAGCACUUUAUUUUCAAAGUGGAAACCUCUUUACCAAGCUGCUGCUGCACCCUCUGUAGCUCUCUCCCAGCCUCUCAACUCCUCCCCUCUCCUUCCUGUUUCCUGUCCUUUCGCACUCCCAACGGCCAGUGCGCCCAAUUCCAGUCCUUACAAGCAGCAUCUAAACUCCACAUUCCCUCCUCUCUUAAGAAACUCUCCCAAUUACAAUAAACACUGUUGUUCUAACCA
Chelonia mydas (Green sea turtle) is the source of this 2012-nucleotide long non-coding RNA. RefSeq lists it as uncharacterized. The record is from RefSeq and is a predicted model, not a curated record. NCBI's taxonomy places the organism in Eukaryota, Metazoa, Chordata, Testudines, Cheloniidae. The transcript has 2 exons.